CAGCAGCCGCGGGAAUACGAAGGGGGCUAGCGUUGUUCGGAAUCACUGGGCGUAAAGCGCACGUAGGCGGACAUUUAAGUCAGGGGUGAAAGCCUGGAGCUCAACUCCAGAACUGCCCUUGAUACUGGGUGUCUCGAGUCCGGAAGAGGUAGGUGGAACUGCGAGUGUAGAGGUGAAAUUCGUAGAUAUUCGCAAGAACACCAGUGGCGAAGGCGGCUUACUGGUCCGGUACUGACGCUGAGGUGCGAAAGCGUGGGGAGCAAACAGGAUUAGAUACCCCAGUAGUCCCUGUCUCUUAUAC
RNAcentral lists this ribosomal RNA (301 nucleotides) under uncultured bacterium. Its description in RNAcentral is "partial 16S ribosomal RNA". It matches the Rfam family "Bacterial small subunit ribosomal RNA", at positions 509 to 807 of the family's 1533-position model. The record is from RNAcentral.